UCCCGGGUGGCUCAGUGGUAAAGAAUCUGCCUGCAAAGCAGGAGACACAGGUUUGAUCCCUGGGUCAGGAA
This 71-nucleotide transfer RNA is filed under the name Bos taurus (domestic cattle). It matches the Rfam family "tRNA". Rfam says of the family: Transfer RNA (tRNA) molecules are approximately 80 nucleotides in length. Their secondary structure includes four short double-helical elements and three loops (D, anti-codon, and T loops). Lineage: Eukaryota; Metazoa; Chordata; Mammalia; Artiodactyla; Bovidae. The record is from Rfam by way of RNAcentral. RNAcentral also lists the same sequence under 3 other names.